CCUCUUUUCUCAGGGAAGAAGAAAGUGACGGUACCUGAGGAAGAAGCAUCGGCUAACUCCGUGCCAGCAGCCGCGGUAAUACGGAGGAUGCAAGCGUUAUCCGGAAUGAUUGGGCGUAAAGGGUCCGCAGGUGGUACUGUAAGUCUGCUGUUAAAGAGUUUGGCUUAACCAGAUAAAAGCAGUGGAAACUACAGAACUAGAGUGCGUUCGGGGCAGAAGGAAUUCCUGGUGUAGCGGUGAAAUGCGUAGAUAUCAGGAAGAACACCGG
RNAcentral lists this ribosomal RNA (268 nucleotides) under Trichormus azollae K73. RNAcentral's name for it is "partial 16S ribosomal RNA". It matches the Rfam family "Bacterial small subunit ribosomal RNA", at positions 430 to 712 of the family's 1533-position model. The record is from RNAcentral. Lineage: Bacteria; Bacillati; Cyanobacteriota; Cyanophyceae; Nostocales; Nostocaceae.